UUGAAAGGGAAACGAUUGAAGUCAGUCGUACCUGUGGGUAAUCAGCCUUUUGGGUGUGAUUUUGUGGAGUGUGAGGAGUUAAACGCCUUCAUGCCUGCAUAUUCGUGCACUUUGGGUGUAUUUACCCGUGUGGUAAGUUAACAUCAAUUUCGGUGGUCAUAAAAUGGCUGGAGGAAUGUAGCUUUGAUCUCGUAUUGAAGUGUUAUAGCCUUCGGUAGAUGUGAUAAUCGGGAUUGAGGAUUGCAACGGGUUCCUUCGGGGCUACCUGUCUGAUCUCUGAUCGUUGCUCUGGUGCCGAAAGCUUGCUUACGGUUAUCAAAGUCGAUGGUCAAUAGGUUAGAAUGGGUUAAAUUCGUUAAGGAUGUUGACGUA
RNAcentral lists this ribosomal RNA (372 nucleotides) under uncultured Glomeromycotina. RNAcentral describes it as "LSU rRNA". The record is from RNAcentral. Lineage: Eukaryota; Fungi; Glomeromycota.